RNAcentral lists this ribosomal RNA (406 nucleotides) under uncultured bacterium. RNAcentral's name for it is "partial 16S ribosomal RNA". It matches the Rfam family "Bacterial small subunit ribosomal RNA", at positions 30 to 526 of the family's 1533-position model. The record is from RNAcentral.
AUUGAACGCUGGCGGCAGGCCUAACACAUGCAAGUCGAGCGAGCGGCGGACGGGUGAGUAAUGUAUGGGGAUCUGCCCGAUAGAGGGGGAUAACUACUGGAAACGGUGGCUAAUACCGCAUACUAUCGGAUGAACCCAUAUGGGAUUAGCUAGUAGGUGGGGUAAUGGCUCACCUAGGCGACGAUCCCUAGCUGGUCUGAGAGGAUGACCAGCCACACUGGAACUGAGACACGGUCCAGACUCCUACGGGAGGCAGCAGUGGGGAAUAUUGCACAAUGGGCGCAAGCCUGAUGCAGCCAUGCCGCGUGUGUGAAGAAGGCCUUCGGGUUGUAAAGCACUUUCAGCGAGGAGGCGUUACUCGCAGAAGAAGCACCGGCUAACUCCGUGCCAGCAGCCGCGGUAAUAC